Molecule: long non-coding RNA, 1035 nt
Filed under: Monodelphis domestica (gray short-tailed opossum)
Lineage: Eukaryota; Metazoa; Chordata; Mammalia; Didelphimorphia; Didelphidae
Description: lncRNA (ENSMODG00000033590.2)
Source: RNAcentral
CAGAGAAAGAGCAGGUAAAGUUGUGCAUGAUGGGCAAAGGAAUCUCCUGAGAUACUUCAGAGGGACCAGGACUGGAGUGAACAGCUGCAUUCAAGGGAGACUGAUUGCUCAGCCUCCACUCAAGAGGCUGCCCCAGGAGCAAUUAGGAGUUAGGAAUUAAGAGACUGACCAUGUCUAAUUGAGCAAAGCUGAGAGAGACCUACAUCAGAGGAGUGGAAUGAUGGACAAGCCAGUGUGGGAAGCAGAGAGCAUUAGUGGUUCCUGAGGCUUUCUCUCCCUACGUUGCCAUUGUGGUGAAUGGGCAGAGCUCUGGCUAAUCUUUUCCCUCCCAGUUUCUUCUUGAAGCUUGUGACUUCACCCCUCCUCCCUGAGUGGACUAUGAAGAUACUCUUGUUUUCUUUCUCAGAAUAGAUUCUCUCUGUGACAGAUUGAUUCUGUGGCCUUGACUUCCCAGAAGCCCUGUAAAAUCCUUGGAUGAGUGCUCAUGGGGAGAAGUUCUGGAGCCCUUGUCCCGACCAUUGGUCCCCAUCAGCUUGCUCCACUGGAGAAGGGAGGAGUAUGGUGGAAUGCACAUGAAUGCCAAAUUCCCUUUUCAUAUACCGAGAAGGAUUCUCCUCUAAAGAUCCCCUUUAAAUGUUUAAAUCACCAUUUAGCUGUCUUAGAAGCACUGGAUACAAGUGAUAAAGAGGCAGAAGAAAACAAUUACCAAUAUUUAGAGUUCAUCCCUAAAAGUAGGAUGGGAGGACGUGAACUCAGAACUUGUGGAAAUGACUGGGAGUGACAGAGAGGCAAUUUUUGGCUCGAUAAAAGGAAAACCCUUCAGUUUGGAUGCCAUGACUAGGAUGAGUUCUACUUCACUAGAGGUUUCCAAACAAAGCCUGGAUGGAAGAUAUCAUUUGAGAUGUUGUAGAAGGGAUUCGUGGACCAGUAUAGACUGGGCUAGAGAGAUGACGGCCCUUCCAACUCAGAGAUUCUGAAUUUCUGUGAAACCACAAAAUUGUGCCAGACACCAGACCCUGCAAUAAAAGUCUUGAC